RNAcentral lists this transfer RNA (74 nucleotides) under Arenimonas maotaiensis. RNAcentral's name for it is "tRNA-Gly". It matches the Rfam family "tRNA". From Rfam's summary of the family: Transfer RNA (tRNA) molecules are approximately 80 nucleotides in length. Their secondary structure includes four short double-helical elements and three loops (D, anti-codon, and T loops). RNAcentral also lists the same sequence under 6 other names. Lineage: Bacteria; Pseudomonadati; Pseudomonadota; Gammaproteobacteria; Lysobacterales; Lysobacteraceae. The record is from RNAcentral.
GCGGGUGUCGUUCAAUGGCAGGACCUGAGCUUCCCAAGCUCAAGACGUGGGUUCGAUUCCCAUCACCCGCUCCA